GGGCUAAUACUUAAUGGAUCUAAGCCAACUAAAUUGGAUUGGAUCUCUAUGAUUUAAAGAAUUGAAAAUAAGCUUGCUUCUUGGAAAAGCAAGUAUCUAUUCUUUGGAGAGAGACUUGUUAUAAUCAACUCUGUCAUCACUGCACUUCCUCUAUACUAUAUGUCCCUUUUCAAGCUUCUAAUUUGGGUUAUCAAGAAGAUUGAACAGCUUAGAAGGUCAUU
Molecule: long non-coding RNA, 221 nt
Filed under: Elaeis guineensis (African oil palm)
Lineage: Eukaryota; Viridiplantae; Streptophyta; Magnoliopsida; Arecales; Arecaceae
Description: long non-coding RNA (EGUI_LNC074648)
Source: RNAcentral